UCAAUUUGUGGCCUAGUGGUUAGAGCAUCUGCCUCAGAUGCAGGAUAUCAUGGGUUUGAACUCUGGUUGAGUAAU
Potamilus streckersoni is the source of this 75-nucleotide non-coding RNA. Lineage: Eukaryota; Metazoa; Mollusca; Bivalvia; Unionida; Unionidae. The record is from the annotation of a GenBank genome assembly.